This 297-nucleotide ribosomal RNA is filed under the name uncultured bacterium. Its description in RNAcentral is "partial 16S ribosomal RNA". It matches the Rfam family "Bacterial small subunit ribosomal RNA", at positions 338 to 651 of the family's 1533-position model. The record is from RNAcentral.
CCUACGGGACGCAGCAGUCGGGAAUAUUGCACAAUGGAGGAAACUCUGAUGCAGUGACACCGCGUAUAGGAAGAAGGUUUUCGGAUUGUAAACUAUUUUAGACAGGGAAGAAAAAAGACAGUACCUGUAGAAUAAGCUCCGGCUAACUACGUGCCAGCAGCCGCGGUAAUACGUAGGGAGCAAGCGUUAUCCGGAUUUACUGGGUGUAAAGGGAGCGUAGACGGUUCUGCAAGCCAGAUGUGAAAGCCCGGGGCUCAACCCCGGGCCUGCAUUUGGAACUGUAAGGCUAGAGUGUCG